UAGUACCAUUAUGAUGUUUGCUCUUUCCUUCUAUGUUUCCAUGGUGACUGAAAAUGGAGCCCUUUCUUCAGGCCACUGGUCUUUGCAGCACUGAUGUUCUCAGCCACAGAAGUGUACUUAGAGGUACCUUCCCUUUACACUUCAUACAGAGACUCAAAGAAGAGACUAAGCUAUCAGUCUCAUCCAGGAUUUCACUGCUGAGCUGAAUACAAAUCAUCAGUUAAGUGAAGCAAUGGUGACAAGAAUUUGCUUAGACAAAUUCAAAAACAAUCAGAUGAAAGAAAAGAUAUUACAAGCUGCCAAGAAGAAGCCAUUCAGAUACCAUGGAAACAUGGUGAGGUUAACACAGGAUCUGGCUGCAUCCACACUGAAGGACCAAAGGGCAUGGGAUACGAUAUUCCAGAAAGCAAGGGAACUAGGUCUACAACCAAGAAUAAAAUACCCAUCAAAACUAACUAUAUUCUUACAGGGGAAAGUAUGGUCAUUCAACACAACAGAAGAGUUCCAAGCAUUCAUAAAUAAAAGACCAGACCUGAACAGAAACUUUGAUGCCCAACCACAGAACUCAAGAGAAUCAUCAAAAGGUAAUUAAAAAAUAGGGGGAAAAAACAAACAAACAAAACAACAACAAA
RNAcentral lists this long non-coding RNA (632 nucleotides) under Monodelphis domestica (gray short-tailed opossum). Its description in RNAcentral is "lncRNA (ENSMODG00000032115.2)". Lineage: Eukaryota; Metazoa; Chordata; Mammalia; Didelphimorphia; Didelphidae. The record is from RNAcentral.